AAUGGGGUAUGCAGGUUUAUCUGGUGGAGUCAACAUUGAUGAUUGUGCCGUGCGUUUGGACAUCAUUUAGCUUAGUAUUGGUUUUUCAAUAAAACUGAGAGUAUUCAUAGUGAUCUCAUGUAGCAGUUUUUUCUUUUUUUAAAUCAAGUCGUGUAUGCUCAUGUGUUAUUAUUCCAUUGCACUUGUCAAUACUAUGUGUAUUAUUUUUGAAUUUCGAAUUGAAUAAAUCCAUCUUGGAAUAAGA
This is a long non-coding RNA of Juglans microcarpa x Juglans regia, 244 nucleotides long. RefSeq lists it as uncharacterized. The transcript is spliced from 2 exons. NCBI's taxonomy places the organism in Eukaryota, Viridiplantae, Streptophyta, Magnoliopsida, Fagales, Juglandaceae. The record is from RefSeq and is a predicted model, not a curated record.